RNAcentral lists this long non-coding RNA (487 nucleotides) under Brassica napus (rape). Its description in RNAcentral is "long non-coding RNA (BNAP_LNC012345)". Lineage: Eukaryota; Viridiplantae; Streptophyta; Magnoliopsida; Brassicales; Brassicaceae. The record is from RNAcentral.
CCUGAUGGUAAGCUGUCAUGUGCCACUCUCCACCAUAAAGCUUUAAUUUUGGGAGGAAGAUCCAGGGACCAUAUUUUUGAGCAGAAAUUUUUGACUGCUUCCGAUAUUAAGAAAUCUUCUUCCUGCAUUUUUGACUGCUUCAGAUAUUAAGAAAUCUUCAUCCUGCUGACCUGUUUAAGUAUCUUGAGGCUUGUUUUUUUAUGGUAUCCUGACUUCACAUUGUACUCUCCCGUUUUUGAGUAGCUCCAGAUCAGCUUAUCCGCUCUUGUUGUUUCACCUGGCUAAUAUAGAAAAUAUAAUUCGCAUCGUCCUGAUGAACAAGAGCAGGUAUCAAUGGUACAUUCCAUUCUCGUGAUCCAGGUAUAAAAAGAUCUUUAACUUUUAUGUUAGGAUGACUGAUGACUCCACUUCUAGUAGCUGGUAAAGAAGGCCCUCUGUAGAGCCAAUUUUCUUCUCAUACUUUAAUCAUAUCCCCAUUUCCAAUCAA